GAACUGGCAAAGCUCCCAUCCUGCCCUGACCCUGCCAUGAGCACCAGCCUCCUCUGCUGGGUGGCCCUCUCCCACCUGGGGGCAGAACUCACAGACGCUGGAGUUGUCCAGGCCCCCAGAUAUAAGAUUACAGACAAAAGGCAGGCUGUGGCUUUUUGGUGUGAUCCUAUUUAUGGCCAUGAUAUCCUUUACUGGUACCGGCAGAUCCUGGGACAGGGCACUGAGCUUCUGAUUCGAUUUCAGGAUGAAGGGGUAGUAGAUGAUUCACAGUUGCCUAAAGAUCGAUUUUCUGCAGAAGCUCAAAGGCGUAGACUCCACCCUCAAGAUCCAGCCUGCAGAGCUUGGGGACUCAGCCGUGUAUCUCUGUGCCAGCAGCGUAGCCACAGCAUCACAGAGACCUUCUCUCCUGUGCACAAAACUCCAGGCUGUCUCCUCUCUGUCAGCUCAUGGCAGCCUUUCCUUAUUCCUCAUCCUUCCAGGGAGGAAGUGAGUUUUCAGACACAGCUAGGAUUCAUGUAGUGGAAGGAGAUGAACUAUUUCUUAAAACACGAGUGCUAUAAUUGUUGUUUGAAAAUAUGUCUUAGGGAUUUGAAACACUUCUGGGUGGGAAUUCGAGAAACCAAAACUGAAAGCGACUUAUCACAGACUUAGUCCUCAGGGGUAGUGAGCGUGGUUGUUCUAUAGAAAAUGCAUAUGAUGAUGU
RNA transcript from Cebus imitator (Panamanian white-faced capuchin), 703 nucleotides. It is a transcript of the gene named T cell receptor beta variable 11-1-like, with no coding region annotated. NCBI's taxonomy places the organism in Eukaryota, Metazoa, Chordata, Mammalia, Primates, Cebidae. The transcript is spliced from 2 exons. The record is from RefSeq and is a predicted model, not a curated record.